AGGCUGAUGCACAACUGCUCUGAGCCUCGACCCUCACUUUGUCCUCAGUACAAGUAAAACAGAACCUUUUCUCUCCUUUGAGAAGGAUUUUGCAGCCCCAGACCAGACCUCGUCUCUCGCCUGGAACAGUGGGAAGAGCCGUGGGUUGAAGACCGGGAGAGACCUGAGCUCCAGGCAGUGCAGAGAGGGCCCCAGCCAGGGGCAAGGAAGUCUGCAGACCCCAAGAGACACUGUGAUCAUCCAGCUUGGGCUCACAAGAAAACCCACGUGCGGCGAGAAAGAGCCAGGGAAAGAAGCAGCUUUAGGAAGGGCUUCAGGCUGGACACGGAUGACGGGCAGCUUCCCAGAGCUGCUCCAGAAAGGACAGACGCCAAGCCCACGGCUUUCCCGUGUCAGAUGCUCACGCAGUGUUGUGGGCUGCGGCCGGGCCGCAGAGAGCGCCGGAAGCAGCGCGCGGUAGAGCUGUCGUUCAUCUGCGGCACGUGCGGGAAGGCGCUCAGCUGCCACAGCCGGCUACUCGCUCACCAGACGGUGCACACGGGAACCAAGGCCUUCGAG
RNAcentral lists this small RNA (558 nucleotides) under Pongo abelii (Sumatran orangutan). Its description in RNAcentral is "retained intron". The record is from RNAcentral. Lineage: Eukaryota; Metazoa; Chordata; Mammalia; Primates; Hominidae.